AUGCAUGCUAUCUUUCAGAGUGUAAGGUUUGAUUUUGUGGAUAACGCUGAGAUAAAAGACAUAACCUCAUUAGAUGCCAAAAACUUCCACUUCAACGUUAUCAGCGGCAAGAACAUGACCUUUGAUAACAUCAAGAUCAUCGCUCCAGCUGAAAGCCCCAACACUGACGGUAUCCAUUUGGGAAGAUGUGAGGGAGUCAAGAUCCUCAACACUAAGAUCGCCACAGGAGAUGACUGCAUCUCCGUGGGAGAUGGGAUGAAGAAUCUCCUCAUUGAGAAAGUUGUGUGCGGUCCAGGACACGGAAUCAGUGUUGGAAGCCUUGGAAGGUACGGAUGGGAGCAAGAUGUCACUGACAUUAACGUUAAGAACUGUACCCUUGAGGGAACCGACAACGGUCUGAGGAUCAAGACAUGGCCAUCUGCCGCUUGCACCACCACCGCUGCCGGUAUUCAUUUUGAGGAUAUCAUCCUUAACAAAGUUAGCAACCCAAUCCUCAUCGACCAGGAGUACUGCCCUUGGAACCAAUGCAACAAGAACGUAAGUAUCUUUUAUUAGAUUCUAUGUCUUGCCACUAUCACCGUAUUCUAUGAAAUUGGAUGGCUCAGCAAACAUAUUAUUCUGAUGGUUUUCUAGAUAUUUAGCAUUCACCAUUUUGGUUGAGGUUACAUAUAUAUGAUUAUGAUCCCAAAGUUUUUUUUUCUAUUUGCAGAAACCAUCAACAAUUAAGCUGGUGGACAUUACCUUCAGGAAUAUUAGAGGAACAUCAGGGAACAAGGACGCAGUAAAACUAUUGUGCAGCAAGGGACAUCCAUGUGAGAACGUUGAGAUUGGAGACAUUAACAUUGAGUACACAGGACCUGACGGUCCACCCACUUUCGAGUGCACAAACGUCACACCUAAGCUUGUGGGAACCCAGAACCCAAAGGCUUGCGUUGGACCUGUGGUCAAGGCUCCUGGCAAAGAGUAAAAUGUUGAAGCUCAUAUCAACACACUAGGGCUUCCACAUCCAAUUUUGUUUAUUCUUUUUCUAAUCCUUUUUCAAGUCACGUAAGGGAGACUUUUACAAAGCUGUAACAAAAAAAUGUUUCUAUCCGAUGCCAACACAUAUAUAGAUGUGUGAGUGCAUAAUGAUGUAAUUAAUAAAACUAAAUUAUAUAUUCUGCGUAUGAUUGUUUCUUUUUAAAAUAUUAAUAUGCGCGGUAAGUUGUAUACACUUCAAUCUUAAUUUUGUUUUCUUUUCCGAAUCUUAAAAUUAUUUAACAAGAUCUGAUUUCAACCUUAAGAUUAAUUUAACUAAUACAGUAUUAGUUUUUUUUUUUUUAGAACUCAUUUUAAACUAGAACUCAAAUCAUUUCAAUAAUAGUUCACUAACAUGUAGUAUUCUUUCCAAGUUAUACUGAACUAGAACUCAAAGAUACACUUGUUCAUACAUAACCGAUGCAAGCAUUUGGACAACGAAACAUGACAUCGUCAUAAGUAAUCUGAUUGGAAAUGUAAUUUUCAAUCAAACUUUCGCUCUUUGCUUAUGAUCUCUUUGGAAAAAAUUUCACUUGAUAAUAUGAGGUGCAUACUCUUCCUCUCUACUUUGGUUCAAUGCUCCUUAAACAUGUUGGAUACUUUUUUAGGCUUCAAUAUAAAAAAGAAGUUAGGAAAAAUUUAUUGAUAUUGUUAGUAAUAUUACUUCUAUGAUAUUGGUACUUCAAAAGAAGCAUGAGUUAUUAUAGAAACUAGGUUAAGAUCUCUGUUUUGCGCAUGAUGAAUUUUAUGUAUACAAAUGAUAUUUUUCUAUUUUUAUUAUUUAUUUUGUGUUUAUUUAUUUCAUAUUUAUAUAAUUAAAUUAGAGUAAACACAUAAAUCAAAACUAUACCUCCUUUUAUUUCUAAUUUUUUUCAUAAAUAAAUCAAUCGUUUUAUUUAUUUUAUAUGAAAUAUAAUUAAUUUGAAUGAUAAUGACAUAGAUAUCUAGUAAAAUUUAAUAUAACUUAUUAAUUGAGAUUUCCUACUCAUAUAAUCUUAUUAACAUUUGUAUAUAUUGCUGUAAAAAAAAUUAAACCAUUAAUUACAAAACUUUCAAUGUGAGAUUUAUUUCAAUACAAAAUUUUAAAUUGAAAUAUUAAGGUCUCAAUACUUUUAAAAUGUAAAUUUCAAAAUUAACGUAUUUAUGUAUUUUUAUAUGGUAUAUAGUUUAAUUUAAACGAUAUUAAGAUAUAUAUAUAUAUAUAUAUUUAAUAUGAAUAUCUAUUAAAUGAGACUUUAUAUUCAUACAAUUUUAUGAUCAUUUUGUAUCUUGUUAUAACAAAAAAAAGUAGUUAAACCAUUGAUUACAAAAUUUCAAUAUGGGCUUUUAACAUUUUUUAGUAAUUUAUAGUUUUUUAAAAUUCAUAAUAUAACAUAUAAGAAAGAGUCUAUAUUUUAAGUAUAUGGUUAAUGUGAUUGUAUAAUUUCUUUUAAUAAUAUAAAAUUAAAUAAAAUAGAUGGAGGUUACAAAAAUUGUUAUCAAAUCUUUAUUAUUCAUAAUCAUUAGUUUUCGUAUAUAUGUUAAUCAUAUUAGGUAAUUUCGUAACUUUUAUUUAGAGAAAUAAUGAAAAUAUUCUUUUGAACAUACAUUACUAAUCAAUUUGAUAGUUAGUUUAAUAAUAAGAUAUAAUAUAUGUUUCGAUAGACCAUCUAUUUUUUUAAGGAUCCUAAGCAUCAUUGUUGUAUUAAUACGUGGAUACAAAAAAAUGUUGCAAUGCUUUUCAAAUAUAUAAAUGAUUAUGUGGUUGAAAGAAAUUAGAAAAAUGCAAUGCAGUUAAGUAAUGAGGAACGAUUGAUUUUUGUUAUUAAAAGACGGAAGUCACGAACCACAUUAAUUAAAGUCAUCGAUUACUGACUGAUGACAACAUAUUUGACAAACAAUAAUAGAAGUUACAUAUAUUAACGCAUAAAGUUACAAAAUACAUAUACAUAUUUGACAAACAAUAAUAGAAGCGACGAAAUACAAACAAACACCUAAAACAAUUAAUUUUCAAAUACAGUCCAGGUUCUCCGAAAGUCGUUUGCUUUGAAAUGCUCUUUUUUAACUUAGUCAUAAACAUCUUCAUCUUUAUAACAUUAAUUAUUUCUUUUAUGAACUGGUUUGCCUUUUUUUCUUCAUGAUAUUGGGUUCAAUAGUUCCAACUUUUGCCUUUUGAAUUGUGUAAAUCUAUUUCACUAUUUGUUGACCAUUUGCAAUUCUUGCUUUUCUUUCAUCAUAUCAUUUUUUGUUGUAUACAUUUCCCUUGAAUGAUGACUAACUUAUACAAAAUUGGAAUCACUUGCAUCAUUUUCGUGGAUUCUUUUAAACCCACUUCUGCCUGACUACAAGAACAUAUUUAAUCACAGAUGAUGACGAGCCCCAUUCCAACAUGUUGAAAUGUAUAGUCUUGGCACUUGAACAUAGCUCAUGCGUUUUUUUUGUCAAUAUAUCAUUAUUCUCUGAUCAUCCAUUUUGUUACAUAGACUUUGCUAUUGUCAGUGCCAACCAUUAUUCCGAUAGUUUUUUCAUGUGGUGUAGUAAUUUUUCUAAACGAAGCAAUUACUGUUCUCUAACAAUUUUGAAAACCAACCAAUGCUAACGUCCAUAUAUAUUUUCCGCAGCCUGCACAACAGGAUUAUCAGAACGUAAAUCUCCUGAAUUUCUUUAAGUUCUAGUACCUUAUAAAAUUCUACUAACAAUUUGAUAUCUUUUUAGAUGGUGUAAAUGUAAUAACAUAAGUUGGCUAGAAACUAACCUCCCAAAAAUAGAGGUAUCAUGCAAAUGCUAUAAACACGAGUGGAACAAGUCUUAUGCCUAACAAUUGAACGCUAAUUUCCCAAAAUUAAAGUAACCUAGCUAAUACUUCCUUAAAAAUGGGUCAAACAUUCUAAAAAAUGAGAAGUUGGGAGAAAGUAUGGGCCUUCAACAUAUCUCUCCAUUUAACGCACUAUAUAAAGCAGCAGGUGCGUAGUAAAAAUCUCAGAAAACAAAAAUUAAAAGACAAUAAAAAAUAAAAAUAAAUAAAUAAAUAUGGGUUCAUAUUUGGGAAUCUAUACAAUUUUGGUUCUAUGUUUGCUAGGAUAUUCAGCCAAUGCUGAGGUGUUCACCGCUGGUGGUCCUCCAAAUUCUGAUAUUACCGCGGUUAGUAUCUUCACUUGUUUUUUAUUACUUGAAUUCCAAUCAAUGUGUAAACCAUUUCUUAUAUUAACAUACUCGUGGGAGCUAUUGUUGCAGGCAGUUCUUAAAGCAUUCACAUCGGCAUGUCAAGCUCCGGCACCAAGCCAGGUGCUGAUCCCAAAAGGUGACUUCAAGCUUGGUGAGACCGUGAUGACUGGUCCAUGCAAAUCUCCAAUCGAGUUCACCUUGCAAGGCAACGUGAAAGCUGACGGUGGCUCUACCCAGGGAAAGGAUAGAUGGGUUGUGUUCGAAAAAAUUAAUGGUUUUAAGUUGAACGGAGGUGGAACAUUUGACGGUGAAGGCAAUGCAGCUUGGAAAGCCAAUAACUGCCACAAGACUUUUGAGUGCAAGAAACUUCCCAUCGUAUGUGUUUAUGUCUUUAAUAUAUUAACACCAAUGGCUUUUUUAAAGAUGAUAUAAUUCAGUGAUGCAUGCUAUCUUUCAGAGCAACUGCCACAAGACUUUUGAGUGCAAGAAACUUCCCAUCGUAGGUGUUUCCGUCUUUAAUAUAUUAACACCAAUGGCUUUUUUUAAAGAUGAUAUAAUUCAGUGAUGCAUGCUAUCUUUCAGAGUGUAAGGUUUGAUUUUGUGGAUAACGCUGAGAUAAAAGACAUAACCUCAUUAGAUGCCAAAAACUUCCACUUCAACGUUAUCAGCGGCAAGAACAUGACCUUUGAUAACAUCAAGAUCAUCGCUCCAGCUGAAAGCCCCAACACUGACGGUAUCCAUUUGGGAAGAUGUGAGGGAGUCAAGAUCCUCAACACUAAGAUCGCCACAGGAGAUGACUGCAUCUCCGUGGGAGAUGGGAUGAAGAAUCUCCUCAUUGAGAAAGUUGUGUGCGGUCCAGGACACGGAAUCAGUGUUGGAAGCCUUGGAAGGUACGGAUGGGAGCAAGAUGUCACUGACAUUAACGUUAAGAACUGUACCCUUGAGGGAACCGACAACGGUCUGAGGAUCAAGACAUGGCCAUCUGCCGCUUGCACCACCACCGCUGCCGGUAUUCAUUUUGAGGAUAUCAUCCUUAACAAAGUUAGCAACCCAAUCCUCAUCGACCAGGAGUACUGCCCUUGGAACCAAUGCAACAAGAACGUAAGUAUCUUUUAUUAGAUUCUAUGUCUUGCCACUAUCACCGUAUUCUAUGAAAUUGGAUGGCUCAGCAAACAUAUUAUUCUGAUGGUUUUCUAGAUAUUUAGCAUUCACCAUUUUGGUUGAGGUUACAUAUAUAUGAUUAUGAUCCCAAAGUUUUUUUUCUAUUUGCAGAAACCAUCAACAAUUAAGCUGGUGGACAUUACCUUCAGGAAUAUUAGAGGAACAUCAGGGAACAAGGACGCAGUGAAACUAUUGUGCAGCAAGGGACAUCCAUGUGAGAACGUUGAGAUUGGAGACAUUAACAUUGAGUACACAGGACCUGACGGUCCACCCACUUUCGAGUGCACAAACGUCACACCUAAGCUUGUGGGAACCCAGAACCCAAAGGCUUGCGUUGGACCUGUGGUCAAGGCUCCUGGCAAAGAGUAAAAUGUUGAAGCUCAUAUCAACACAUUAGGGCUUCCACAUCCAAUUUUGUUUAUUCUUUUUCUAAUUCUUUUUCAAGUCACGUAAGGAGACUUUUACAAAGCUGUAACAAAAAAAUGUUUCUAUCGAUGCCAACACAUAAUGUGUGAGUGCAUUAUGAUUUAAUAAAACUAAAAAGAUUUAUCUAUCUUUUCUACACAUAUAUGAUUUUCUUUUUUUAUAACAUGCUUAAUUUUCUUUUAAAAAUCUUAUUAAUUGACAAUAAAUGUUCUGAUCCAUGUCUAUUUUUAUUUGAUGGUUGCCAAGAACCAAUCACUGUAAAUAGUUAUUCUUAUCGCGAAUCGAAUUAUGGUGAUGGAAGUUACAGCCACAAUUCAUUUACCAGUAGAGUUGAUUCGUUCGCUUAUUGGGGAAUAUUUUUGGGACGUCUUAUCGAGAUAAUAGAGAAUGAUGCGUUCUUGUACAUCUUUUUCUUGAUUCAUGUAGUUUAAGGAGUUCAGGCAUUUUGGUUUAAGCGAGUGAGAUAUCGUUCUAGUGAUAUUUAGAGUAUAUUGUUUUGCUGGUGGAUUACUUCUUUGAUUAUAAUUGACACCAGGGAUACAUGGUUUGUUCUUUUUUACUUUGAGUUCAGGUGUAUGAUGUGACCCCGUUUGUGGAGGAUCAUCUUGGAGGCAAAGGGGUCUUGUUAUUCUCAAAAUGGUUUGGAUAAAAUCAAAUCUUACUGAUAUAACAUUGGUUGCACUCUAGUCUAGUGUGGAUACGAAAACGGCAAGAUGAUCCUCCACAGUGAAACCAAAUCUUACUGAUAUUUUAAAUACCUACUAACAUGAGUGUGUGUAUGGCCUAAAUAAAUAUGGACAAUGGUGUGUGUACACAAUAUGAUAUGAGUGUCCAUCUGGAUACUCAGUUCGCGUACAUCUUUUGUUGUACAUCUCCGAUUCCUAAAAUUUGAUGAACAUUUCUUCCUUUCAACAGCUCUUAUACAGUAGACAUUUUCUCUCAAACAAUGCAAUAUAUUAUUGUUAUUAUUACUCUCAGUAUCUUGCACCAUAGGUUCACAAAUGCAAGAUGUAGUCAAAUUCAUGAAAAUGUACAUGUACACCGUUUUCUGUAAUCAUGCAAAACUACUUAGAUUUCAAUGCAUUAGUGAGUUCUUUUUCUGUAAACCUCCUCUUGGGAAUCUGAAUUAUUCAUCUCUGAAUGUUUCAUGUAGUAAGAAAAACCAUAUACCAAUAUAUAAGAAACAAUUACAUUAUAGUCCAUUUUCCUAAUGAGAGUUAGAUAGUUUCGUCCAAGCUAAGACAUUCUAUUUCUAAGCACGAAUAUGACAUCAUUAAAACAUCUGCAAAACAUUGACUAGCAUAGCCUUACUCUUAGAAGACACUUCAAUAUAAACGAACAACAAGACAUGAUUAAAGAGGCCAGACAUACAAAAAUUCAGACAACGAAAACAGAUUUACUAACAUACCAGAAUCUCAAGUUUGGAAUAUGACAAAAAUGGACACUUUACAUCUUUUUAACACUAAUUUUCAGGAAAGAAUAAAACAGACAAUAAAAUUACUAAUCUUACUGUAUUUUGGGAAAAAACAGAAAAUAGAGCCAAUGUGGUGGUAGAAAGUCGUCAUGGUGGUGCUUCUGGAGCUUCACCGGAGUGUUGUCGACUGCGCGGGAGAGAUGUGAUUAUGUUUUUCAUCAACCGGUGUUUGCCGACCGGAUCUUGAUGAAAACCGUGUAAAUAAAUAUUCUCCAGAGUUUAUAAAAUGUCUUUACAAUGUAAAUAAAUAAAUAAACAAGCUGUAAAUCACUAUAUUCUCAAAGUCAAACCGAGUCUGGUUAUUUCUGUUCUGAUAUGUCCGGUCCGGAUAUUUUUGCCCCGGCUUAAACAUAACCCUAACCCUAAAAAAAAAAAAGCACAAUAAAAAAAGAAGCCUUUCACAUUUUUCAUUUUUUCUUUCUCUUAAUCUUCCUUCAGAAUCCAGCCGCCUCUGUCAAACUCUCAAACUACCUCAGGGUUCGUACCACACUCUUCCUUCAUGUUUCCAUCUUUAACCUAGAACGGUCUGGAUUUAAUUGCAACUAGUCAUAAACUUUAUUCUAAAACUCUAAUUUCGAAGGCACUAGAUAUCUAAAAAAUUGUUAUCCAUUUUUGGUAGUUUGAUUUACGAGGUUUCUACUUCUUAUAUUGAUUUCAUCAUACACUGGUGUUAUAGGUUUCUUCGUCCUCGUGUUGUUGCGUUGUUGAUUUUGUUUGUUAAAUUCCGUUAUUACAGAUGUCAGCAUUAAUGGAUCAAGAUUCAGGGAUGUUCAAGGUUCAGCAAACCAUUGUAAGUGUCUUGUGUUGCAAGUGUGGUGUUCCUAUGCCACCAAACGCAGCCAACAUGUGUGUCAACUGUCUCCGUUCCGAAGUCGACAUCACCGAAGGCUUACAGAAGAGUGUCCAAAUCUUCUAUUGCCCUGAGUGUGGCUGUUACUUGCAGCCACCCAAGACGUGGAUCAAAGCUCAGUGGGAAUCCAAAGAGCUCUUAUCUUUCUGCAUCAAGAGGCUCAAGAAUCUCAACAAAGUCAGGCUCACGAACGCUGAGUUCGUCUGGACUGAGCCUCACUCCAAGAGAAUCAAACUCAAGCUCACUGUUCAAGCCGAGGUUCUUAACGGUGCUGGUCUUGAGCAGUCAUAUCUCGUUGAGUAUACCGUUAGAGACCAUCUCUGCGAGUCUUGCUCGAGGUUUCAGGCCAACCCUGAUCAGUGGGUUGCUUCGGUUCAGCUUAGGCAGCAUGUUUCUCACAGGAGGUCUUUCUUUUAUCUCGAACAGUUGAUUCUCAGGAACGAUGCUGCUUCUCGCGCCGUAAGAAUCAAGCAGGUUCAUCAAGGGGUUGAUUUCUUCUUUGGGAAUAAAAGUCAUGCUGAUAACUUUGUUGAGUUUUUGAGUAAAGUUGUUCCCAUUGAGUCUCGUCAGGACAAGCAGCUAGUGUCUCACGAUGUCAAGAGCAGCUUGUACAACUACAAGUACACUUACUCCGUUAAGAUCUGUCCUAUCUGCCGUGAGGAUCUUAUCUUCCUGCCUUCCAAAGUUGCUAGCGGGUUAGGAAGCCUUGGUCCGCUUGUGGUGUGCACAAAAGUUUCUGAAAGAAUCACGCUGCUUGAUCCUAGAACCUUGAGGUGUGCGUUCUUGGACGCCAGACAGUACUGGAGAUCCGGAUUUCGAUCCGCUCUCACCAGCAGGCAGCUUGUGAAGUACUCAGUGGUUUAUGUGGAACCACCUGUUGGUGAAGCGACUGUCGGAGGGCAAAAGUAUGCUCUAUCCUAUGUCCACAUCGCACGUGAGUCAGACAUUGGUAAGAUGUUAACUGUCCAAAGACUCCAAACUCAUCUAGGACAUAUCCUGAAAACAGGAGAUCAAGCUUUAGGGUAUGAUAUCUACGGUGCAAAUGUUAGCGACGAUGAAAUGGACGAGUAUCGUUUGCAUGGGGGGAUUCCUGAAGUGAUUCUUAUCAAGAAAUGCUAUGACAAGGAGAGAGAGAGGAAGAAGGGGAAGCCACGUGCGUUUACGACCAAGAAGCUUCCAAUGGAGAUGGAUGAGUCAAGAGGAGGACGCGGAGUUGAUCCAAAGAAGAUGGAGAAUGAAUAUGAAGAGUUUUUGAGGGAUCUUGAAGAGAAUCCUGAGCUGAGGUUUAACAUAUCAUUGUACAAGAACAAGGAUUAUCAAGAGUCUGAUGAGACUGCUUCAAUGACGGAUGGAGAAGGUGCACCGACUGUGCCGAUUGAAGAGUUGCUUGCUGAGCUUGAGCUUAGUGAAGAGGAAGGCGAUGAUGAAGAGUACAUGGAUGAGUAAUUUUCCUUUUAAAAGACACUCAAUGAUUGGGUUAAUUGUAUGCACAGGAGUUUUUGUUUCUAGCUUCAUAUUUUUCUGAGACUUAUUAUGGUUAUACUUUGUUUGAAAUUUUGAUUUUUGAACGUGUAAUAGUUGCAACUACGGUGGAUCAUACAGUGAAGCCAAUCUGUGUCGCCAUUAUCAAUGGAGUGUAAAAGAAACAAAAUGGCUCACAUUCAAAUCCAAUCUCUCUUUAAUCCUUUCAUUAAAAAUGUGUUUUGAGUUUAAGAUCUCUAUUUUGCGUCUUCAACGUUAUGUAAUGUAGGAUAUGUACAUUAAUCAGUUAACAUAUACAACUAUAUAUAUAUGUAACUUGAGAAAAAGAGGCAGUCACAAAAUUAUCUAUGUUGUCCGCGGUUAUUCCUGAUUGAUAGAUGUCCCCAUGAGAGACGGUUUAUUAUCAUGGUGGAUUCCACACGGACUAUCUCUGCUUGCAAUGCAAGCUUCGCCUGGAAUCAAGAGACCACCUCGGCACCUCUUCAUUACAUAGUGUAUAAAACGUUCAUAAUCAGAAGAAAAUGCAAGUUUUUUAAAAAUUAACUCAAAUUUACUUAUAUUUUCAGUUCAGUUGCUAACAAAUUUUGUUACAUUUUCAGCUAUAGUUGUCUUGGUAAAACAACCAAAAUUUAUAAUAUUAUAAGAAAGUAACAAUUUAUUGGUUAAGGUACUUUUUAGUUUUAACCUUCAAGAUAUAAAAUUAGACAGCAGAUUCCAAAGACAAGGGACACAACCUAAAAAAUGAGAGGUGGUGAGAAAAGUUAAACUGAACUUCUCUUCCCCCAACCCACUAUAUAAAUGUAACUAUGAGUUAAAUCAAAUUCAAGAAACAAAACAACAUAAUUAAUAGUAAAUAGUAAUACGAGUAGUAAAUACAUAUUUUUAACAAUGGGUGCAUAUUUUGGAGUUUCUACAAUAUUUAUUUUCUGUUUGCUGGGGUUUUCAGCCAAUGCUGAGGUUUUCAGCAUUGAUUCCUCUUCAGGUUCUGAUAUUACUCAGGUUAGUCAUGUAUUGCUUUUCCUCUAUCUUGCGUUACAAGCAAUCUAGAAAACCACAUUUUUGGCUUAGUUGUUAAAGUUUCAUUGUGCUGAUAUAUGCAGGCACUUCUGAAAGCAUUCACAUCGGCAUGCCAAUCUCCGUCACCGAGCAAAGUAGUGAUCCCAGAAGGAGAGUUCAAGCUUGGUGAGAUCGAGAUGAGGGGACCAUGCAAAGCUCCAGUCGAGAUCACCCUUCAAGGCACUGUCAAAGCUGACGGUAACGCGAUCCAGGGGAAGGAAAAAUGGGUUGUCUUCGGCAACAUUAAUGGGUUUAAGUUGAACGGAGGUGGAGCUUUUGACGGUGAAGGAAACGCAGCUUGGAGAGUCAAUAACUGUCACAAGACAUUCAACUGCAAGAAACUUCCCAUCGUAUGUGCUUCUGUCCUCACUUGUUUUUAAGAUUUUGAAAUUAUUACCUAGGUGUUAGAUGGUGAGUAGGCUCUUAAGUCCUAUAUGGAUUGUUUGCCCACAAAAAUUAAAGAAUUGAAAAAAAUAAAAGUAUUGAUGGUUUUGAGACCUCAAUAUAACAGAAUUUUAACUAGCUUUUGUGAAGAAAACAAAACAACUUAUUGAUGUAAUUUUAUCUUUGUUUUUUAUAGAGUAUAAGGUUUGAUUUCGUGGAGAACGCUGAGAUCAAAGACAUAUCAUCGAUAGAUGCCAAGAACUUCCACAUCAACGUGCUCGGAGCCAAGAACAUGACCAUGAGUAACAUCAAGAUCACCGCUCCAGAAGACAGCCCCAACACUGACGGUAUCCAUUUGGGAAGA
RNAcentral lists this long non-coding RNA (11358 nucleotides) under Brassica napus (rape). Its description in RNAcentral is "long non-coding RNA (BNAP_LNC000971)". Lineage: Eukaryota; Viridiplantae; Streptophyta; Magnoliopsida; Brassicales; Brassicaceae. The record is from RNAcentral.